Spinacia oleracea (spinach) is the source of this 2533-nucleotide long non-coding RNA. RefSeq lists it as uncharacterized. The record is from RefSeq and is a predicted model, not a curated record. NCBI's taxonomy places the organism in Eukaryota, Viridiplantae, Streptophyta, Magnoliopsida, Caryophyllales, Amaranthaceae. The transcript has 6 exons.
AUACUAUACAAGUUGCAAUUAAACGAAGUAAUCGCAGCUUCUGGCCGUAUUGAAUGCUGCAACUCGGAAUAUUCGCAACCUUUGCCUGUCGACUUUGCUGCAAUUGUAAGGAAGAUUUUUCGCAAUAUUCGAUUCUCGAUCUCAUCUUCUCAAACCACCACAGAUCUAGAAUUUCAAGAGAAAGGUUUUCGAAUCUCCAUAGCCAUGGCUCCUUCUACACAAAUCUUUCCUACUCGCUCCUUCCUCUUCAUCUUUGUUCCUUCGCCAGCCAUAGCACGCGUUUGUGAGAUAGGUAAACUUGUAGUGUUUCGACUUUGUGUCAAAUCGUCAUUCAUGUCUACAGAGAAAUAAAGGUGGGGCGGAAGAGAGAGAAAGGCGCCGAAGUUUUCUUGUUUAAACAAACAAAUUCGCCAGCCACCGGUCGGGUUUUCUUGUUCCUUUUCAACAUCCGCCGCCGGCAACACCGCACCCCUCCAAUUCAAGCCCUCAAAUUGCAGAUAAGUAGAGAUAUAAGGAGCUAGGGUUUUGCGGUACUUGCUUAGGUAGAGAUGUUCGAAGUGAGUUCUUCAAUGGUUAAUUCUUCGCCGCCUUGCAAUUUGGCAGAGGGGAUUUCUUCGUGUUUCUACUUCGCAAAAUUCUCCUUUACCUCAAAAUUGAAGGGAGAAGAAGGGAGAUAAAAGGGUUUUCCGAUGUUUGUUUUCUGGAGAGUGCACUAGCAAUGUGUUGUCUGAAAAUCGUCCACCGUCAGAAUGGUAGGCAGCUACUUUGUUGAUAACCAGCAGCUUCCGAAGGAAACAGAUGACGAAGAUGGUUUUAUGUUGACAAUUGAUGGAAACAACAAACUCUACGAGCAGGAAGAUGCCGAGUUGAGUUUGGACCAGCACGCUGCAACUGAUUCAAGUACCAGUGUCUUCCAUGAAGGGUUAUGUACAAAGAGAAAUUCCACACUCUAAUGAGGAGUUAGAAGAAACUCGAGAACAAUGGGCAAAGUAUUUUAAGGACAACUAUUUGAUGGAUGCCGGCGAAUGAGUUUGUUGUCUAGUAAUUUGUUGUGUUUUAUGUUUUUGUUAUGUGUUGGAUAUGACAUUGGAUGCUACUUGGAGCAUAUAUAUAGUUGUUGGAACAUAUAUGUAUGUUAUGUCUUAUAUACAGGUGUUUAUAAAUUCCCCUUUUGUCCGGGUUUCGCAAAUUACAAGGGAAACUAUGGCAAAUUUUUUGCAACCUAUUAAACUAUUUAUAAUGUUUUUAUUAUAAUUUUUUGUCAAAAUAAUAGGAUUGUCCAGGGAUAAAUAUAUAAAUAUGCAUCUGAACGGAGCUAUUAUAUUUAAUUUUUUUUUUUUAAAAAAGAAUUAAUUGCAGCGCGUGUACUGGCACUAAGCUGCAAAAUGACAACUAAUAGCAGCACAUAUUUCUCAACAAGGCGCUGUAACUAGUUUUUAUUUGCAACUUAUUGGGGUCGAACCGCGCCGCAACUCAUACACUAUUUGCAACUUAUACAGGUCUACCCGCGCUGCAAUUAACCUAUUAUUUGCAGCGCCUAUGUCCGCUGCAAAAAAACUUACAGUAUUUGCAGCCAUCACAAUUGCAGCGCGCGAAAACGCUGCAAAAAGCCUGUUUUACCCGCGCUGCAAAUGUGAUUUUUUCUACUAGUGAGCUAAGUAAGAGAGCUUGUCGUACAACAGAGAAGGAGAAAUAAGGGGGAGCCAUCUAACGGCAAUCCAAGCUUCAAAAAUGUGUAGCUUUGUCCACAACUGACGCAGAGUAUAUUGCAGCAAUGGAAGCAAGCAAUGAGAUGCUUUGGCUUAAGAGGUGCCUUCAAGAGUUGGGUUUGAAGCAAGGUGAGUAUGUAGUAUUCUGUGACAGUCAGAGUGCUAUGGAUUUGAGCAAGAAUUCAAUGUAUCAUGCUCGCACCAAAUACAUUGACAUAAGAUAUCAUUGGUUGCGAGAUGUGAUUGAAGAGAAGAGAAUGAAACUGAAGAAAGUCCACACCGACAAGAAUGGUGCAGAUAUGUUGACAAAGGUAGUUACCGGAAGCAAGGUUGAGCUUUGUAGUAAGCUUACCGGGAUGAGGUUCAAGUGAUCAUGUAGGGAUCGUGUCUUCUUUGUGAUGGGCUGGAGGGGGAGAUUGUUGUAGGUCCAGCCUACUUGUUGCACAAGUAAUUAAUUUAUCUUGUGUUUGUUAGCCCAAAAUGUUGGGUUAUGUUUUUAGUCCACUUGGGGCUAAAUUGGUUGGCUUAUCUUAGAAGACUUUUAGUCUUUUUGAUGUUUAGUUAUGAACUAAGGGGAGUUAGAUCAGCUGUGAGAAAAAAUCAGAUCAAAAUACACACAAAAAGGAGAGGAGAGUAAGAGAAGAGAGGGUUCGUAACUUUCAGGGCAGUCAUCAGAAGGUGACAAGAGUGGACUCCUCACAAGUCCUGUGAUGUUUACUCUUCACAUCGAAGGGGUUUUCCACGUAUAAUUCGUGUGUGUUGAUUGCAUUUUGUUUUUCCGCAUUUGAUUAUUUGUUGCUGUCCAUUAUUGGUUGAUUGAUAGG